GAUGAACGCUGGCGGCGUGCCUAAUACAUGCAAGUCGAGCGAACAGAUAAGGAGCUUGCUCCUUUGACGUUAGCGGCGGACGGGUGAGUAACACGUGGGUAACCUACCUAUAAGACUGGAAUAACUCCGGGAAACCGGGGCUAAUGCCGGAUAACAUGUUGAACCGCAUGGUUCUACAGUGAAAGGCGGCUUUGCUGUCACUUAUAGAUGGACCCGCGCCGUAUUAGCUAGUUGGGGAGGUAACGGCUCACCAAGGCAACGAUACGUAGCCGACCUGAGAGGGGGGUCGGCCACACUGGAACUGAGACACCGUCCAGACUACUACGGGAGGCAGCAGUAGGGAAUCUUCCGCAAAGGGCGAAAGCCUGACGGAGCAACGCCGCGUGAGUGAUGAAGGUCUUCGGAUCGUAAAACUCUGUUAUUAGGGAAGAACAAAUGCGUAAGUAACUGUGCGCGUCUUGACGGUACCUAAUCAGAAAGCCACGGCUAACUACGUG
RNAcentral lists this ribosomal RNA (497 nucleotides) under uncultured bacterium. RNAcentral describes it as "partial 16S ribosomal RNA". It matches the Rfam family "Bacterial small subunit ribosomal RNA", at positions 28 to 507 of the family's 1533-position model. The record is from RNAcentral.